ACGUCUCUAAUCUAAGAGAGUUCCUCUCUAGGCUCAAGAAACCAGAACGUCUCUAAUCUAGGAUUGUUCCUCUCUAGGAAUCCGUCUCACGUCACAAUGGUCCCCAACCUUGAGGCUCCGCCCCUUCCGCUCCUCCUCCUCCUCCCCCCCACCCCUCUUUCCAUGCUCGAAAACAGGAAAGACCCGACAGCUGUCAAAGAGGAAAGAAGAAGAGCCGAACCGGAGGUGGGAAGCUGGGAGUCCGGCCUCCUCCUGCCCUCCCACCCCUAGGAUCCACCCGCCCCCAGGAAAGGCCGCUUUGCAAGGGGGGGCGGUGGCUUCCUCGCGAGUUUCCUGCCAGAGGAGCUGCAAGGAGUGUUUGACGGGGACUCUUAAGAAGCACUUGGUUCAGUGGCUCUGGAUCGAGAAGAGCAAAGGGAAGACCAGAUCCCCCUCCUGACCAGAUCCCAGGCUGGGGAUUCACUACAGCCUGUGAAGUGACUUCCAGCCAACUCGAGGGGGGCAAAAGACUUUCGCUUUGCAAACAAAAGAUCCAGAAGCACGCACAUCACUGGUGAGUUUCUCAGGCCAAGUGGUGUUUUGAGCCCAGGUUGCAGGAGACAUUUGGUUAUCUACCACGUUGCCUCUCUGAACAUGUGCAGACUGUUGUUAUUAUUCCUUUAGUUCCCAAUCCUGCUUGGCUCAA
Molecule: long non-coding RNA, 685 nt
Filed under: Pogona vitticeps (central bearded dragon)
Lineage: Eukaryota; Metazoa; Chordata; Lepidosauria; Squamata; Agamidae
Description: lncRNA (ENSPVIG00000008694.1)
Source: RNAcentral